UCACCAUUAGUGUUUUAAACCCUAAACUGAACUGUUCCCACUUAAUCAGGAUUAGGGUUUUUGAACCAUAAACUGAACUCUUUCCUUCAGUCAGCAUUAGGGUUUUAAACCCUGAACUGAACUUUUUCCCAUUUAGUCAGCAUUAGGGUUUUAAACCCUAAACUGAACUCUUUCCUUCAGUCAGCAUUAGGGUUUUAAACCCUAAACUGAACUUUUUUUCCUUUAAUCAGCAUUAGGGUUUUAAACCCUAAACUGAACUUUUUCCUUUAGUCAGCAUUAGGGUUUUAAACUCUAAACUGAACUUUUCCAUUCAGUCAGCAUUAGGGUUUUAAAACCCUAAACUGAACUUUUUCCUUUAGUCAGCAUUAGGGUUUUAAACCCUAAACUGAACUCUUUCCUUUAGUCAGCAUUAGGGUUUUAAACCCUAAACUGAACUCUUUCCUUUAGUCAGCAUCAGGGUUUUAAACCCUAAACUGAACUUUUCCUUCAGUCAGCAUUAGGGUUUUAAACCUUAAACUGAACUUUUCCUUUUAGUCAGCAUUAGGGUUUUAAACCCUAAACUGAAUUUUCCUUUAGUCAGCAUUAGGGUUUUAAACCCUAAACUGAAUUUUCCUUUAGUCAGCAUUAGGGUUUUAAACCCUAAACUGAAUUUUCCUUUAGUCAGCAUUAGGGUUUUAAACCCUAAACUGAACUUUUUCCUUUUAGCCAGCAUUAGAGUUUUAAACUCUAAACUGAGCUUUUCCAUGCAAUCAGCAUUAGGGUUUUAAACCCUAAACUGAAUUUUCCUUUAGUCAGCAUUAGGGUUUUAAACCCUAAACUGAAUUCUCUUUUAGUCAGCAUUAGGGUUUUAAACCCUAAACUGAACUUUUUCCUUUUAGCCAGCAUUAGAGUUUUAAACUCUAAACUGAGCUUUUCCAUGCAAUCAGCAUUAGGGUUUUAAACCCUAAACUGAAUUUUCCUUUAGUCAGCAUUAGGGUUUUAAACCCUAAACUGAACUUUUUCCUUUUAGCCAGCAUUAGAGUUUUAAACUCUAAACUGAGCUUUUCCAUGCAAUCAGCAUUAGGGUUUUAAACCCUAAACUGUAUUUUCCUUUAGUCAGCAUUAGGGUUUUAAACUCUAAACUGAAUUCUCUUUAGUCAGCAUUAAGGUUUUAAACCCUAAA
RNAcentral lists this long non-coding RNA (1162 nucleotides) under Nicotiana tabacum (common tobacco). Its description in RNAcentral is "long non-coding RNA (NTAB_LNC001828)". The record is from RNAcentral. Lineage: Eukaryota; Viridiplantae; Streptophyta; Magnoliopsida; Solanales; Solanaceae.